UUGAGCCCUACGCGGGGAAACUUGCACGUACGGCUUGAGGGACGGGGCACAGUAAUGUGCUCCUGCCUGCCGACAUCAU
Molecule: unclassified non-coding RNA, 79 nt
Filed under: Izhakiella capsodis
Lineage: Bacteria; Pseudomonadati; Pseudomonadota; Gammaproteobacteria; Enterobacterales; Erwiniaceae
Source: RNAcentral